This 497-nucleotide ribosomal RNA is filed under the name uncultured bacterium. Its description in RNAcentral is "partial 16S ribosomal RNA". It matches the Rfam family "Bacterial small subunit ribosomal RNA", at positions 28 to 507 of the family's 1533-position model. The record is from RNAcentral.
GACGAACGCUGGCGGCGUGCCUAAUACAUGCAAGUUGAGCGCUGAAGGAUGGUACUUGUACCAACUGGAUGAGCAGCGAACGGGUGAGUAACGCGUGGGGAAUCUGCCUUUGAGCGGGGGACAACAUUUGGAAACGAAUGCUAAUACCGCAUAAAAACUUUAAACACAAGUUUUAAGUUUGAAAGAUGCAAUUGCAUCACUCAAAGAUGAUCCCGCGUUGUAUUAGCUAGUUGGUGAGGUAAAGGCUCACCAAGGCGAUGAUACAUAGCCGACCUGAGAGGGUGAUCGGCCACCAUGGGACUGGAACACGGCCCAAACUCCUACGGGGGGCAGCAGUAGGGGAUCUUCGGCAAUGGACGGAAGUCUGACCGAGCAACGCCGCGUGAGUGAAGAAGGUUUUCGGAUCGUAAAACUCUGUUGGUAGAGAAGAACGUUGGUGAGAGUGGAAAGCUCACCAAGUGACGGUAACUACCCAGAAAGGGACGGCUAACUACGUG